GUCGAUAGAAGACUCACCUACAAUCUUCACUGAAAAUGAAUCGUCAGUUGACAAUUGCUACAAUUUCGGUGGCCGUCAUCUUGUUGCUGUGUUCCGGACCAGUCGCUGGCCGCUUUAGUAAACACGAUGGAGAUUUUGCCCCAGGAUAUAACCUAGAUUUCCUCCAAACCGCCGAUCAAUACAAAGAAUCAGCGAGAGUAAAACGAGCGACUUUACCUGAGCUGGAGAAGCACGAUACAGAAGAUGCAGUUCACUUGCGC
RNAcentral lists this long non-coding RNA (260 nucleotides) under Daphnia pulicaria. RNAcentral describes it as "uncharacterized LOC124349322". Lineage: Eukaryota; Metazoa; Arthropoda; Branchiopoda; Diplostraca; Daphniidae. The record is from RNAcentral.